GAUGAAGAACGCAGCGAAAUGCGAUAAGUAAUGUGAAUUGCAGAAUUCAGUGAAUCAUCGAAUCUUUGAACGCACAUUGCGCCCGUUAGCAUUCUAGCGGGCAUGCCUGUCCGAGCGUCAUUUCAACCCUCAGGGUCCCCGUUCCGGCGGGGAACCUGGUGUUGGGGAUCGGCCCGCCCCGUGCGGCGCCGUCCCCCAAAUUCAGUGGCGGUCUCGCUGCAGCCUCCCCUGCGUAGUAGUUACAACCUCGCAUCGGAGCUCAGCGCGGCCACGCCGUAAAACCCCCGACUUUCUGAACGUUGACCUCGGAUCAGGUAGGAAUACCCGCUGAACUUAAGCAUAUCAAUAAGCGGAGGA
This 357-nucleotide unclassified non-coding RNA is filed under the name soil metagenome. Its description in RNAcentral is "partial contains 5.8S ribosomal RNA, internal transcribed spacer 2, and large subunit ribosomal RNA". The stretch from base 1 to 120 matches the Rfam family "5.8S ribosomal RNA", at positions 35 to 154 of the family's 154-position model. The record is from RNAcentral.